RNAcentral lists this unclassified non-coding RNA (240 nucleotides) under soil metagenome. RNAcentral's name for it is "partial contains 5.8S ribosomal RNA, internal transcribed spacer 2, and large subunit ribosomal RNA". The record is from RNAcentral.
AAGACUAUAGACCUGCGGAGUACCUGCGUAAGGAUCAUUAACGUAUCUAUGAUGGGGUGCGGAGCGCCCUGCUCCGGUCGAACGGCCGUGCAGCGGGUGCGCCGCCCCCGUCCCACCUCACAAACCCACUGUGAACAUUCACCGGUGGAGGGGGCUCGGUCUGCGCCGUGUCCCCGAUGCCGAAUACCCAAACUCCAGUUGCAAAGAACGUCGUGCGGACUCGGUGCCGCCUAAAACAUG